Molecule: ribosomal RNA, 300 nt
Filed under: uncultured bacterium
Lineage: Bacteria
Description: bacterial SSU rRNA
Rfam family: Bacterial small subunit ribosomal RNA
Source: RNAcentral
CACGUAAGAAUCUACCUUUAGGACGGGAGUAACUUCUUGGAACGGAAGUGCUAAUACCCGACUAUGCUGUGGAGUGAAAGGAAUUUCGUCCUAAAGAAUGAUCUUGCGUCUGAUUAGCUAGAUAGUGUGGUAAUGGCGCACUAUGGCGACGAUCAGUAGCUGGUCUGAGAGGAUGGACAGCCACAUUGGAACUGAGACACGGUCCAAACUCCUACGGGAGGCAGCAGUGGGGAAUUUUCCGCAAUGGGCGAAAGCCUGACGGAGCGACGCUGCGUGAAGGAUGACGGCCUGCGGGUUGUA